This 124-nucleotide transfer RNA is filed under the name Opitutaceae bacterium. RNAcentral's name for it is "tRNA-Tyr". Lineage: Bacteria; Pseudomonadati; Verrucomicrobiota; Opitutia; Opitutales; Opitutaceae. The record is from RNAcentral.
CGGAGCGAGUGGGUGAGCCGAGCGGGUGCCCUCUGGGCGGCAAGGCGAACAACAGCAAAUGCAGCGCGCCGUAAACGCGAUGCCCUGAGGUGCUACGAAGGUGCAAGUCCUUCCGCUUCGACCA